Molecule: ribosomal RNA, 431 nt
Filed under: uncultured bacterium
Lineage: Bacteria
Description: partial 16S ribosomal RNA
Rfam family: Bacterial small subunit ribosomal RNA
Source: RNAcentral
AACGAACGCUGGCGGCAGGCUUAACACAUGCAAGUCGAACGCCCCGCAAGGGGAGUGGCAGACGGGUGAGUAACGCGUGGGAACAUACCCUUUUCUACGGAAUAGCUCUGGGAAACUGGAAUUAAUACCGUAUACGCCCUACGGGGGAAAGAUUUAUCGGGGAAGGAUUGGCCCGCGUUGGAUUAGCUAGUUGGUGGGGUAAAGGCCUACCAAGGCGACGAUCCAUAGCUGGUCUGAGAGGAUGAUCAGCCACAUUGGGACUGAGACACGGCCCAAACUCCUACGGGAGGCAGCAGUGGGGAAUAUUGGACAAUGGGCGCAAGCCUGAUCCAACCAUGCCGCGUGAGUGAUGAAGGCCUUAGGGUUGUAAAGCUCUUUCACCGAUGAAGAUAAUGACGGUAGUCGGAGAAGAAGCCCCGGCUAACUUCGUG